RNAcentral lists this ribosomal RNA (605 nucleotides) under uncultured Methanomicrobiales archaeon. RNAcentral's name for it is "bacterial SSU rRNA". It matches the Rfam family "Archaeal small subunit ribosomal RNA", at positions 425 to 1029 of the family's 1478-position model. Lineage: Archaea; Methanobacteriati; Methanobacteriota; Methanomicrobia; Methanomicrobiales. The record is from RNAcentral.
AACAGGUGAAGAAAGAACCGGGCAAGACCGAUGCCAGCCGCCGCGGUAAUACCAGCGGCUCGAGUGGUGGCCACUAUUAUUGGGCUUAAAGCGUCCGUAGCUUGGUUGUUAAGCAUCUUGGGAAAUGAACCGGCUCAACCGGUAGGCGUUCAGGAGAUACUGGCAAUCUAGGGACCGGGAGAGGUGAGAGGUAAUCCAGGGGUAGGAGUGAAAUCCUGUAAUCCUUGGGGGACCACCUGUGACGAAGGCGUCUCACUAGAACGGCUCCGACAGUGAGGGACGAAAGCUGGGGGAGCAAACCGGAUUAGAUACCCGGGUAGUCCCAGCUGUAAACGAUGCGCGUUAGGUGUAUCGGUGACCACGAGUCACCGAGGUGCCGAAGGGAAACCGUGAAACGUGCCGCCUGGGAAGUACGGUCGCAAGGCUGAAACUUAAAGGAAUUGGCGGGGGAGCACCACAACAGGUGGAGCCUGCGGUUUAAUCGGACUCAACGCCGGAAAGCUCACCGGAUAAGACAGCGGAAUGAUAGCCGGGCUGAAGACUCUGCUUGACUAGCUGAGAGGAGGUGCAUGGCCGUCUUCAGUAGUAUUUAAAAGAUAUUNNNU